This 467-nucleotide ribosomal RNA is filed under the name uncultured bacterium. RNAcentral describes it as "partial 16S ribosomal RNA". It matches the Rfam family "Bacterial small subunit ribosomal RNA", at positions 28 to 507 of the family's 1533-position model. The record is from RNAcentral.
GACGAACGCUGGCGGCGUGCUUAACACAUGCAAGUCGAACGGAAAGGCCCUGCUUUUGUGGGGUGCUCGAGUGGCGAACGGGUGAGUAACACGUGAGUAACCUGCCCUUGACUUUGGGAUAACUUCAGGAAACUGGGGCUAUACCGGGUAAGAGCUUCUGCUUCCUGGUGGGGGUUGGGAAGGUUCGGCGGUUGGGGAUGGACUCGCGGCUUAUCAGCUUGUUGGUGGGGUAGUGGCUUACCAAGGCUUUGACGGGUAGCCGGCCUGAGAGGGUGACCGGCCACAUUGGGACUGAGAUACGGCCCAGACUCCUACGGGAGGCAGCAGUGGGGAAUAUUGCACAAUGGGCGGAAGCCUGAUGCAGCAACGCCGCGUGCGGGAUGACGGCCUUCGGGUUGUAAACCGCUUUCGCCUGUGACGAAGCGUGAGUGACGGUAAUGGGUAAAGAAGCACCGGCUAACUACGUG